Molecule: ribosomal RNA, 461 nt
Filed under: uncultured Pseudomonas sp.
Lineage: Bacteria; Pseudomonadati; Pseudomonadota; Gammaproteobacteria; Pseudomonadales; Pseudomonadaceae
Description: bacterial SSU rRNA
Rfam family: Bacterial small subunit ribosomal RNA
Source: RNAcentral
GACAAGACGGUGGAGCAUGUGGUUUAAUUCGAAGCAACGCGAAGAACCUUACCAGGCCUUGACAUGCAGAGAACUUUCCAGAGAUGGAUUGGUGCCUUCGGGAACUCUGACACAGGUGCUGCAUGGCUGUCGUCGGCUCGUGUCGUGAGAUGUUGGGUUAAGUCCCGUAACGAGCGCAACCCUUGUCCUUAGUUACCAGCACGGUUAUGGUGGGCACUCUAAGGAGACUGCCGGUGACAAACCGGAGGAAGGUGGGGAUGACGUCAAGUCAUCAUGGCCCUUACGGCCUGGGCUACACACGUGCUACAAUGGUCGGUACAAAGGGUUGCCAAGCCGCGAGGUGGAGCUAAUCCCAUAAAACCGAUCGUAGUCCGGAUCGCAGUCUGCAACUCGACUGCGUGAAGUCGGAAUCGCUAGUAAUCGUGAAUCAGAAUGUCACGGUGAAUACGUUCCCGGGUCUU